RNAcentral lists this transfer RNA (75 nucleotides) under bacterium HR28. Its description in RNAcentral is "tRNA-Asn". It matches the Rfam family "tRNA". From Rfam's summary of the family: Transfer RNA (tRNA) molecules are approximately 80 nucleotides in length. Their secondary structure includes four short double-helical elements and three loops (D, anti-codon, and T loops). Further hydrogen bonds mediate the characteristic L-shaped molecular structure. tRNAs have two regions of fundamental functional importance: the anti-codon, which is responsible for specific mRNA codon recognition, and the 3' end, to which the tRNAs corresponding amino acid is attached (by aminoacyl-tRNA synthetases). tRNAs cope with the degeneracy of the genetic code in two manners: having more than one tRNA (with a specific anti-codon) for a particular amino acid; and 'wobble' base-pairing, i.e. permitting non-standard base-pairing at the 3rd anti-codon position. The record is from RNAcentral.
AGCCGGGUAGCUCAGUGGUAGAGCAAGGGGUUGUUAACCCCUUGCGACGCAGGUUCGAAUCCUGCCCCGGCUGCC